GGCCUGGAAGCUCAGUUGGUUAGAGUGUUGGCCUGAUACACCAAGGUUGCAGGUUCAAUCCCUGGUCAGGGCA
Myotis davidii is the source of this 73-nucleotide non-coding RNA. NCBI's taxonomy places the organism in Eukaryota, Metazoa, Chordata, Mammalia, Chiroptera, Vespertilionidae. The record is from Rfam.